AUGGAGCAAUUGGAGAAGAGGAUGGAUGCUGCUGAACAACAAAUCAAAGAGCUGCGUGAAGAUCUUAAUAGGAGAUUUGACCAGCUGGUUGAGAUGAUAAGAAAGGGUGUCCCCCCUGCUACCAAUGAAGGAGAUUCAUCUAAAGAAGAGGAAGAUGUUCAUCAAGGAAGACGGAGAGGUAAUCUUGGAGCAAGACCGCCACGACAACAUGUUGUUCAACGUGCUUCAAGAAGGCCAAUUUAUGUUGAGGCUUCUGAAGGUGAAGAAUAUGAUGAUGCCCUUGAAGAGCCAAAUCUCUACGCAUAUCGGAGAGCACCCAACCCUACAUAUGCAAGAGAUACAUACAAGGUGAAAGCCGAGAUCCCAAGUUUUAAUGAAAAUGUUGACAUUGAAGGGUGCCUGGAUUGGUUAUAUGAAGUGGAGACUUUCUUUGAGGUCAUGGAGGUUCCGGAAGAUCGUAGAGUUCCUUUGGUCGCAUACAAACUGAAAGGAGGAGCCAGUGCAUGGUGGCAUCGCGUUCAAGAGGAGCGCAGGCUCAGAGGAGAACCUCAUAUUAGAACUUGGCGACAAAUGAAAGGCCUCUUGAAAGGGAGAUUUUUGCCCGCUGAUUAUGACCAGAUCCUAUUUAUCCAAUUUCAAAAUUGUGCUCAAGGAAAUAGGACUGUUUCAGAUUACACGGAGGAGUUUCUAAGGCUACAAGCGAGGUGCAACCUUGCUGAAACUGAAGAGCAACAAGUUGCAAGGUACAUCAAUGGUCUCAAUGAUGCUAUUCAAGAUCGAUUGAUGAUGCAACAAAUCUGGUCCGUUGAUCAAGCACAAGCUCUAGCCUUAAAGGCCGAGAGGUUUGUGAGGAUGAGAAAGACAACUAAGGCUCCAUAUCCUCCAUAUCCUCAUACCGAAGGCUCAUCUAGGAGCCAACCUAAUAGAGUGGAAGAAAAGACCACUCCACCAAAGACAAAACAGCCCAUCCCGAAGCAAACUAGAGGCAAGGGUAAGGCAAAUGAAGGCCCAAAGUGCUAUAAAUGUGAUAAAGAGGGACACAUAUCCAGCGGCUGCCCACUAAGGAAAUUUGUUAACACGACUAUCCAUGAUGGUGAAAGCGAUGAGGAAGAAUACGAAUCUGAAGAUGUAGACGGACAAGAGGUUUGUCAAGAAGAAGGUGAAGAGGUGGUAUGUGUGAUCCAGCGUGUCCUAUGUUCCACACCACAACUCGAUGACACACAACGGAAGAAAAUAUUUGAGAGCAAAUGCACGGUGAAUGGCAAGGUAUGCAAACUAGUGAUUGAUAGUUGCAGCUGCGAGAAUCUUAUCUCCCAGAAGUUGGUGGACCAUUUAAAGCUUGAAACCCAUGAUCAUCCAAAUCCCUACACUAUUGGAUGGAUCAAGAAAGGAGUGAAUAUGAGGAUCACCAAACAAUGCAACCUGCCACUUUCUUUGGGUAAGCAUUAUCGCUCAAAUGUGUUGUGUGAUGUGGUUGACAUGGAUGCCAGCCAUGUUCUUCUUGGGAGGCCUUGGCAAUUUGAUGUGGAUACUACACACAAGGGCAAGGAAAUUCUUACUCUUUCAUUUGGAACAAGAGAAGGAUCAUUAUCUUACCAAACAAACCCGAAGGUAAUACCUCUAAGGAGGAGGGGGAAACUAUGUUAA
Molecule: ribosomal RNA, 1647 nt
Filed under: Triticum aestivum (bread wheat)
Lineage: Eukaryota; Viridiplantae; Streptophyta; Magnoliopsida; Poales; Poaceae
Description: partial small subunit ribosomal RNA
Source: RNAcentral